This 211-nucleotide ribosomal RNA is filed under the name Clostridioides difficile. RNAcentral's name for it is "partial 23S ribosomal RNA". It matches the Rfam family "Bacterial large subunit ribosomal RNA", at positions 58 to 269 of the family's 2925-position model. Lineage: Bacteria; Bacillati; Bacillota; Clostridia; Peptostreptococcales; Peptostreptococcaceae. The record is from RNAcentral.
GUGAUAAGCUGCGAUAAGCUUCGGGGAGUUGCACGUAAACUUUGAUCCGAAGAUUUCCGAAUGAGGAAACUCACUUAGAGUAAUGUCUAAGUAUCAUUAAGUGAAUACAUAGCUUAAUGAGGGGAACUCAGGGAACUGAAACAGCUAAGUACCUGAAGGAAGAGAAAGAAAUUCGAUUCCGUAAGUAGCGGCGAGCGAACGCGGAUUAGCC